AUCCAGCUGACGAGUCUCAAAUAGCACUAAAUAUGCGUCCUGCAU
This is a non-coding RNA of Schistosoma rodhaini, 45 nucleotides long. The record is from Rfam. Lineage: Eukaryota; Metazoa; Platyhelminthes; Trematoda; Strigeidida; Schistosomatidae.